This 253-nucleotide ribosomal RNA is filed under the name uncultured bacterium. RNAcentral describes it as "partial 16S ribosomal RNA". It matches the Rfam family "Bacterial small subunit ribosomal RNA", at positions 524 to 776 of the family's 1533-position model. The record is from RNAcentral.
UACGAAGGGGGCUAGCGUUGCUCGGAAUCACUGGGCGUAAAGCGCACGUAGGCGGUCCGUUAUGUCGGGUGUGAAAGCCCUCGGCUUAACCGAGGAAGUGCAUUCGAAACUGGCGGACUUGAGUACCGGAGAGGGUCGCGGAAUUCCCGGUGUAGAGGUGAAAUUCGUAGAUAUCGGGAGGAACACCAGUGGCGAAGGCGGCGACCUGGACGGAUACUGACGCUGAGGUGCGAAAGCGUGGGGAGCAAACAGG